This 29-nucleotide non-coding RNA is filed under the name Mus musculus (house mouse). The record is from RNAcentral. Lineage: Eukaryota; Metazoa; Chordata; Mammalia; Rodentia; Muridae.
UAAGACGUUUGUCAACUGUCUUUGAGCUA